UGGACAUCUUGUUUUUGUUUUUUUGUUUUGUUUUUUUUUUCUCUCUCUCUCUCUCUUUGAAUAAAUGUCACUUUUUGAGGCAAAAAGAAGGAACCGUGAACAUUUUAGACACCCUUUUCUUUGGGGUAGGCUCUGCCCCAGGCGCCGUCUCCUUCCCCCCCAAACACUAAUGCAUUUCCCUAACCUAAUCACCUCAUUCCUAAAGGCUUUCCUACCCCAGCCAAAUCUCCAAAAGUGAGUCAAGGGGCUAAAACAUGGCUGGCCUCAUUUGCUGGACCAAAUCUACAGGGAGAACCCCCUGAAUGAGGUUGUCCAGGGACUUGUCCCCAGGUGAGGGGAGCAGGG
Molecule: long non-coding RNA, 345 nt
Filed under: Androctonus crassicauda
Lineage: Eukaryota; Metazoa; Arthropoda; Arachnida; Scorpiones; Buthidae
Source: RNAcentral